UCUAACUUAGUUUCCUCUCCAAAAGCUUAGUAGCUUUUGUGUUUGCUCCAAAAGCUCCCAAACUUUUGCUUUUGUAAAAUGGAACCUUCCAGUUGCCUUUCUUAAUGGAAACUUCUUACUUCACCAAAAAAAAAAAAAAAAGAUAUUUCGAAUUGACAAUGGCACAGAAUACAUGGAUAAAACUUUUGGAGCUUACUUGGAGUCUUUUGGGAUAAUCCAUCAAACUAGUUGUCCUUAUACUAGUGCACAAAAUAGGGUUCUUUGAGAAAGAAAAAAUAGGCAUUUGUUAGAAGUAGCAAGAUCCCUUUUGUUUACCAUGAAUCUGCCGAAGCCUUACUGGGGGAUGCCAUUCUAGUAGUUGUCUACCUCAUCAAUAAAAUGCCACUUAAAACUCUUAAUUUUCAGAGUCCUUUAGAAGCUUUAAAGGGUAAAAAUGACUAUACUGUUCCUCCAAAGAUAUUUGGGUGUAUUUGCUUUGUUCACACUAGGAACUCUGGGAAACUUGAACCUAGAGCUCUUAAAUGUGUUUUUAUUGGGUUUUCUCCAACACAGAAAGGGUACAAAUGUUAUCACCCUCCUUCUAGGAGAUUCUUUGUCAGUAUGGAAGUUACCUUUCGGGAAUCUGAACCCUAUUUCAGUGUUACACCAUCACCUCUUUAGGGGGAGAAUUAUAAGGAAGAAGUCAUGGUUUUUCCAAGUUCCACUGUUGAAACUACUGCCACAAGGGAAAGUGAAAUUGGAGAAAGAAUUCAGGGGGAGAAUGUUGGGCGUUUGGAUAGGCCUGAUUUGAUAACUUACUCAAGGAGAAAUAGAGCAGAAGAAGCCAUCAUGCAACCUGCCGAAGCCGAACCUUCUUCUUCUGAAUUGGAGGGAAGCUUUUGCAGAUUCUAAAUGGAAGCAAGCUAUGAUGGAAGAAAUGAAGGCCUUAUCAAAGAAUGAGACUUGGGAACUUGUCGCAUCACCACCCGACAAGAAGUUGGUUGGUUGCAAAUGGGUCUUCACUGUAAAAUAUAAAGCUGAUAGUUCCAUUGAAAGAUUCAAAGCAAGAUUGGUGGCUAAAGGAUUCACUCAGACUUAUGGAGUGGAUUAUCAAGAGACAUUUGCUCCUGUUGCAAAAAUGAACACUAUUAGAAUUCUUUUGUCUUGUGCAGUUAAUCUUGAAUGGGACUUACAACAAUUUGAUGUGAAGAAUGCAUUUCUUCAUGCAGACUUAGAAGAAGAGGUGUACAUGGA
This is a long non-coding RNA of Lycium ferocissimum, 1233 nucleotides long. RefSeq lists it as uncharacterized. NCBI's taxonomy places the organism in Eukaryota, Viridiplantae, Streptophyta, Magnoliopsida, Solanales, Solanaceae. The record is from RefSeq and is a predicted model, not a curated record. The transcript has 3 exons.